CGAGCGGAAGAAGGAUUGCUCGCGGAUGUAGCGGGGACCGAGCGGACAGAAGGGAGCUUGCUCCCGGAUGUUAGCGGCGGACGGGUGAGUAACACGUGGGUAACCUGCCUGUAAGACUGGGAUAACUCCGGGAAACCGGAGCUAAUGCCGGAUAGUUCCUUGAACCGCAUGGUUCAAGGAUGAAAGACGGUUUCGGCUGUCACUUACAGAUGGACCCGCGGCGCAUUAGCUAGUUGGUGAGGUAACGGCUCACCAAGGCGACGAUGCGUAGCCGACCUGAGAGGGUGAUCGGCCACACUGGGACUGAGACACGGCCCAGACUCCUACGGGAGGCAGCAGUAGGGAAUCUUCCGCAAUGGACGAAAGUCUGACGGAGCAACGCCGCGUGAGUGAUGAAGGUUUUCGGAUCGUAAAGCUCUGUUGUUAGGGAAGAACAAGUGCAAGAGUAACUGCUUGCACCUUGACGGUACCUAACCAGAAAGCCACGGCUAACUACGUGCCAGCAGCCGCGGUAAUACGUAGGUGGCAAGCGUUGUCCGGAAUUAUUGGGCGUAAAGGGCUCGCAGGCGGUUUCUUAAGUCUGAUGUGAAAGCCCCCGGCUCAACCGGGGAGGGUCAUUGGAAACUGGGAAACUUGAGUGCAGAAGAGGGGAG
RNAcentral lists this ribosomal RNA (653 nucleotides) under Bacillus sp. (in: firmicutes). Its description in RNAcentral is "bacterial SSU rRNA". It matches the Rfam family "Bacterial small subunit ribosomal RNA", at positions 63 to 661 of the family's 1533-position model. Lineage: Bacteria; Bacillati; Bacillota; Bacilli; Caryophanales; Bacillaceae. The record is from RNAcentral.